This is a long non-coding RNA of Raphanus sativus (radish), 1923 nucleotides long. RefSeq lists it as uncharacterized. The transcript has 11 exons. The record is from RefSeq and is a predicted model, not a curated record. Lineage: Eukaryota; Viridiplantae; Streptophyta; Magnoliopsida; Brassicales; Brassicaceae.
CUCAACUCUUAGCAUGUCCACGUCGACAAAUUAAAUCAAGCAAUAGGAAAAGAGUGAUUCGCCACGUCAGAUUCGUCAUUUAAAUCAGUCGGGCUUCAAAACCAAUGUUAUUUGGCCCAUCUACUCUGAUCUAUCCUCCUGAGUUUCUCGUGAGCCGUUUACGUUCCCUGAAAUCUUCAGACCACGGUUUCUUCAGAUGUGUAACGAUGAGAGACUACGGAAGAUGAUAUAAUUGUAUAUCAAGUAACAUCUGAGGACAUUGUUGAUGACUUUGAGACGAAGUGGUUGAUGUUAAAGACAAAGAGCUUAAUAAGCAGAAGCUGAGGAGAAGAAUUGAUCAGCACAAGCUUCCACCGUGGAGGUGCGGCUGGUUCGUUUUCCCCAGCGCUCAUACUCGGUGAUGAUCGUGAUAAAAACAGUCGAUCCGGAGGAGGACAAUAAUUACUGGAAGAGCCACCCUGUAUGUCUUCUUGCGGUGAUUAUCUUAAAAGGAACUUCUCCUGGUGGCUUGAUUGAGGCAUGUUUCCCUUCAUGCAGUGUCCUAGAAUAAUCAUUAGCGAUGUAGAGGUAAGCAAGACUCUUGCUUGAACCAAGUACAUGGAGUAUGGUUUGAAAUGAGACUGAGGCAAGAACCUUCUCCAGGGUUCACAGCUGGAGACAAUACAAUACGACUACUGUGAUCACACAAGUUCCAUAUCAUGUGGUUUAUGCCAAAGAUGGAAAGGUGAUGAAGUACCCAGUUAUUUGAAGUGGUAACAGAUGGUGAGAAGUCGAAGGCGGGGAAGAAGCAAGCUAAGGCUCCAUGGGCAAAGCUACUUUCUCAGUAUUCUCAGGACAUUGAGUAUGGAUUCAUGAGCGGCGACAAGGACAACUUCAACCUCGCCGAUCUAACCGCCUCUCUUAAAGACAGGAUCGAGCUGGCCUUAUGAACUCUCUCAAGAACAAGCUAAUGGCUGGUCAGCGUUCUGAUGUUCUCGAGAGUCUGACUCCUCAAGUGAGAAACCGUGUUGAAGCCUUGAGGGACAUACAGGGAAAGCAUGAUGAGCUUGAUGCAGAGUUCCGUGAGGAGAGAGCUGUUCUUGAAACCAAGUAUGAUAAGUUGUAUCAGCCUUUGUAUACCAAGAAGAAACAGGUCAAGGAUCCGGAGCUUGAUGAAGAGGAGUUGAAGAAGUUCCAAGAGGUAACUUAAUCAAAUAAGAAAGUUUCUCCCGAAGAUGAAGAUAACCCAAACCCGAGUCAGUCCAACGCCUCUACCUUGAGUCGAAGGUCACAUCUAUGGUGGUGAUUUGUUACCUGGUUAAGGAGAUGCCCUAGAACAGUAUGUCCGGUAAGGUAAAUGUAUCCAAUGUAGAGAAAUAUUAGGUCUUAACUCUGACGAGAUUCAGAAGGUUGAGGGUCUUGGUUAUGUGAUGUGGAAGUAGGCAUGAAAGGAUGAAUGAUAAUUGCAUCAUAAAGAAAAACCAGGUUUAAAGUGCUGAAGAGGUUCAGAAAUUUGAGGAUCUUGGUUAUGUGAUAUAGAAGGUCAACGAUUGUUUGAAUCCGGCAUUGGCCAUGUUUAACUAUGAGGAGAAGGGUUUGGUUAUGUCUGAUCUGUAGCGGUUUGUGCAACUCUAUAUGGGAGAAGACCCCAACUAUGAUCCUUCUGGUGAUGUACAGACUGAUGGAGCAGAUGACUGAUUUGAUUUCUUAUGUUGAUUGUGUGGGACUGUAGGUACUUAUUGUUAUUGUUUGUUUGCUACUUACCCGUUAACUAGAUGCAUAAUUUAUGUGUAGAUAUAUUGCAUGUGUUAAAGAUGAAACAUCUUGGUUUAGCAAAUCUUUUUAUUUAUUUUUCGAUAGUUAGCUAUGGGAAACACUCCACACUUUCCAUUUAAAAAGAAACGCCGAUGGCCUAGACAAAAGCAUCAUGUAAAUUUAAGUGAU